UAACACAAACAAAGCGGAUGGUUUCCC
This 27-nucleotide small RNA is filed under the name Bombyx mori (domestic silkworm). RNAcentral's name for it is "ovarian small RNA-18555". The record is from RNAcentral. Lineage: Eukaryota; Metazoa; Arthropoda; Insecta; Lepidoptera; Bombycidae.